RNAcentral lists this long non-coding RNA (929 nucleotides) under Anas platyrhynchos platyrhynchos (common mallard). Its description in RNAcentral is "lncRNA (ENSAPLG00000019308.1)". The record is from RNAcentral. Lineage: Eukaryota; Metazoa; Chordata; Aves; Anseriformes; Anatidae.
AAACAAGUGUACUGUAGGCAAGAAUAAUGUUGCAAAAUAUCUCAGAAGGAAAACAAGAGCCCUUAUCAAAAAAUACUAUUCAUUAAUAAUUCCUUUUUAAUGGCUAAAAAGAAUACAAGUGCUUGUCUGUAGAGAGGAAUUGUCUUCAUUAGGAAGGCAAUUUAAUUAGAGCAACUACUUAUGACUUAACAGAAUAUUUUACCAAACAUGCACUACUUAAAAACAUGUUUAUAUGAGUUCUAAAAUAAUAACUAGGAGAAGUUUACUGGAGAAACUGUACAUAGACAAAUCUAUAACUGCAUGUUGCAAAGACUCAUGAAUUUAAAAGUCAGCAAGGCAGGAAUUAACUUCAAGUGCAAGGUCAACUUAUUUGCUAGUUAGAACAGGGUUAUCGGACAAGCUAGAAGUGCUGGGGAUUUUGAUGUGAAACAGGUUAAAAUGGAGAUUUUCACAACUGAUAAAUAAUUAUCAUCAAUUAGCAUUUGGUAAGCAGGUGCCCUUACCAUAUAAAAGGAGGUGGUGGAUAGAUAGUGCUUUUCCUGCUGUGUGGCUUAUAGGAUGGUGAAGAGUUUUUGUUUAGAGAGAAGCCUUCUGAAAUUACAGAGAAAGAAAAAUUCAUUGCUUGGAGGAGGUUGGGGAAGGAUAUUGCUGAAAGACCUGCAUAUGGGCUAGGAUGUUGUUGAAUUGCUCUAGGCACUCUGAGAUUUGCCUCAUGUGGAAGGUGACCCACAAAAAGAAACAUGAAGAAAAACCUGGUGCGAUUCUAAUGCUGAGGAAGGUCCUGGUCUCUGACUAGAGCUGACAGCAUCUCCUGAGUACCUUCAAUGUUAGCUUCUGGGGCUUGAGAUCUAUAGGUUAGGAGUAGAGACUGAAAAAGGGAAUUGAUUAUAGUACAGCUAGAUAAAAAUAAAUUAAAAAAAAAAAAAAAA